CGGGCCAGCCUGCACUCUUCCUGGGCUUUCUGCGCUGCCGUUGUCGCGGCAUCGGCUUUCCCUCUCGCGUGAGCUGUCCUGUGGAUGUAGCGGUCCGGGCCAAGGCGGUUAAGAUGUAGAGAGAAAGACUGGAUAUUUAAGCAGUGUUUUUGCAAACUCCCAUUCUGGAUCUCUUCUGACUUAAAGUGUCACAUUCUGCCACGGAUGGAUUAUUCAUGCGAUUCGACCACACAAACGGCAGGAUCACAUUCACACAUCCACAACCUACAGUACAACUACACCAUCAAUUAAAAAAGAUGGAUCUUCUAGUCACCUUAAAGGGCAUUUAUAAUGGUCACAUAGCAAACUCCAAGAAAUGAUCCAUUCAGGGUAAACAUUUUCAGGACAUUCAGUAUCAUGUUAGUUCAUUGGAACACAUUUCUGUUUUGGUGUCAGUGAAGGAGCAUUUGUUCUGAUGAGACUGUGGUGUUACCUAAAACAACAAAGGUUGGAAAACACUGCUCUAGACAACAUCAACAAACCGACAUGGCAGACAACAAGGUGAAAAAUGCUUCAGUUUUUCAAUUAGCAUUCAAUAUUCAACAAAACUGUAUGCGGUUAUUAAAAAAAAAACACACAAGCACGCACGCACAGAGACACGCCUUAACAGCUUCAGGCAAUUUAUGACUAUGGCAUUCCACAUGUCCAUGUUAUUGAUUGUGCUACUGUUGCUCUGCAUCAAUAAAGACAUCAGUCAGCCUGCUGAUACACCCAGAAUCUACAUGACUCUCAUUAAGUGAAUCCGGACUUAUGUAUUCUCUCUCCUCGCUGACACCGACACAAAUCAUUCACGUUUCCUUAGCAACCACACCACAUAGCAGCACCAGCAAGGCCUAUUUAACAGGUCCCAAGCAACCGCUAGAAAUAUGGCUUUGCAUUCGGAUGCUGUGUAAAGAAAGCGAGAGGAUACAUGUUGUAGAACGAUACACAAAUGUCAAUAAACACUUGUGUAGUCCAAGCAGAUGUUUGUUUGAGUGUACGUGCUAAUGGUAAGAGAUACACUGUGCACUUUAAGACUCCAUUAAUUCAAGAAGAGUUUUGGUUACUUUUAGUCCAUGUCUGUUAGGUCUGAAGCCAUAUUUUUGCUAGCGUACUCCAAAUUGAGUUGACAAAAUGAGAUUUUAGCCAUAUACUCAUUUCAUGUUUACAGUAUUUCUCUACCAGGAAAAUGGGAUGAAAAUAUUGAUGACUCAUCCUGCCCUACACAGAUUUUGUCCAAUCAAAUGCUUUCUACGUUGAGAAUGACCCUUCCACUUAAUAUUAACAUAUAUUUCGGUUUACCCUAGCCUACGUGCAGUGUGCGUGACAUAAAUUUAACCAUCAGCAUAUGCGCGAAUUCUACCUGCCCUUGCAAAUACACCUUGAUUUUUUUGUUUUGUUUUUUUUUUGUUUAUGCAAUAAUUUGUUGGUCCAUAAGGUGGCAACACUGGCCUGACCGUCGUUUCAGUCAAAAAAACCCAAAACAAUUUUUUUUUUUUUACCACCCGUAACCAACUAGCAGGUACAUAGGUUCAUUGGUUUGAUGUAACUAAAGCUUAAUGGCUUUUUUUUUUUUUUUUUUUUUACUUAUAUUUAUGGGCUUUUUGUGCCUUUAUUCGGAGAGGACAGUAGAGAGCAGACAGGAAAGCAUUGGGUGGAGAGAGGGGGGCAGGAUCGGCAAAGGACCUCGAGACAGGACGAACUUGGGUCGCUGUGAACGCAUUUGCGCCAUAUGUCGGCACACUAACCACUAGGCUAUUGGCACCGACUUAAUGGCUAUUUUUUUUAAGGGCCCUAUAGGAUGUCCUGUCCAAACUUUCUGUUUCAAUAAGAAAUUUGUCAAUGCAUAUGAUUUUGUUACGUCAUGACCGUGAACCCAAGUAAUUGGUAGUCUGUGUAGUGCAAAAUGAGUCAACAUUUUUGGUGCAUUCGAAAAAUUUUCUUAAGGCUAAUUUUGUCAAAAAUAGGACUUUUCACACUUUAAAUAGUUAACCCUGGGUUAUUCUAAACCCCGGGUGAAUGGAAUCCUGGGUUAUCUUGCUUCAUGUUUCACACUACUCAUAAUUUACUUGGGGUUAACAAUUAAUCCCGAGUAUUCAUAAACUGACAUUUCACAUUGUACAUUCUUAACCCUGGGUUAAUAUUCCUAUUUGCAUAUUUGCGCUGUCAGUGUCAUUGAUUGGAUGAACCCAGCAUGCCAUCUGUUUACAUAAAAGCUCUAGCAUUGCGCAUCCUCAGAUUGCCGACUGUACUAUCGCGUUUAUACUGAAUGGACAUUUCGGACUUUAAAGGUAAGAAUGAAACGAUCUCUUCUUCACUCAAAUUGUCGCAUUUUCUCUCAGCAUUUGAUUGUUUAUAUACGAUGCGAGGUGUUUCCAUGACUGUCCAAAGCACGUGAAUAUCAGGCACACGAUUUGUUGUCUGUUGCUAAGCGUGAACCCUUCUCUGGAGCAGGGUUUCAUAACCCUGGGUAAAAAGUGGUGCUAACCCCACUUCUAAAUUACAAGUGUGUAACAUUCCUUUACCCAGGGUUUAAAGAGGUGUUUAGAACGAAGAUAACCCGGGGAUAAGUGCAGUAUGAAAAGCCCUUAUUCGGAGUACAUUAGCAUAUGAUUGCACAAACAUUUGUGUAAUGCAAACUGUGCUUGUCUAGUUGGUUUUUGAACCAUUUAGAGGCCAAUAUAUUAAGUUUAAAUCGUUUUCACCCAAAAAUGAGGAUAUUGCUUUGGUUCUCUUUGAGAAUGUAUGUUAGCGUUAGGUCGGUUAAGUGCUUUUUAAGGUCAACAAGCAGCAAGCAAAGACAUUCAACAUGAGACCCUGUG
Molecule: long non-coding RNA, 2840 nt
Organism: Megalobrama amblycephala (Wuchang bream)
Lineage: Eukaryota; Metazoa; Chordata; Actinopteri; Cypriniformes; Xenocyprididae
Exons: 6
Source: RefSeq, a predicted model, not a curated record